GUGAUGCUUCGGGGGUGCCCUCAAGGCUGAGAAACAAACCCUUUGAACCUGAUCUGGGUAAUGCCAGCGUAGGAAGAACAGAAGCGGCUGAU
This 92-nucleotide non-coding RNA is filed under the name Candidatus Vecturithrix granuli. RNAcentral describes it as "Bacterium UASB270 TPP sequence". It matches the Rfam family "TPP riboswitch aptamer (THI element)". Rfam says of the family: Vitamin B(1) in its active form thiamin pyrophosphate (TPP) is an essential coenzyme that is synthesised by coupling of pyrimidine and thiazole moieties in bacteria. The previously detected thiamin-regulatory element, thi box was extended, resulting in a new, highly conserved RNA secondary structure, the THI element, which is widely distributed in eubacteria and also occurs in some archaea. Lineage: Bacteria; Candidatus Moduliflexota; Candidatus Vecturitrichia; Candidatus Vecturitrichales; Candidatus Vecturitrichaceae. The record is from Rfam by way of RNAcentral.